GCGCCGCCGCCGCCGCCCUCGGUCGCCUCCUCCCCGUCGCGAUGGACGGGCCCGCCCGUGAACCGCCUGGACGAGCAGGCGGCGAGAGAGCGCGUGAUGCGCCUCGCGACGACGACGACGCAGGGCGCGGGCGCGCUCGAGGCGAUACAGGGGUGCCUGAGCUCCAUGCCGGGCGUCACGAACAAUCGCCUCGCGCUGUUCCGAUACCCGGAGCGUGAAGUGCCCGCUCGACACGGUCGCGCUCAACUUGAUCGAGACGCGCUGGGUCGUCGCGUUCGACGCGCUGGCGAACGCGCCGAGACGACCGGGGGACCCGCCGUUUUGUUUCGGCAUCACGCACCCGGCGCUGACGGUGCGCGCGACACUGGUCCCCAUACGACCCCGUUCGCGUGGUGAACGCCGUUCCUUAAGGACUUUCUCUCCCGACCAACCGACCCGUCGUUCGACCGCGCGUCCGCCAAUCACCCACCAAUCACGUCGCGCCACGUCACCAUCUACAGUAGUACACGUGUUCUUCCAUCCUCGUCGUCUCGACUCACCAAUCCGAUCGCGGCGCGUCGUCGUCGUCCGUAUCCCGCAGCCCGCGAAGACGCCGCCGGGGGAGGACCCGAUACCCCCGAAGGAGGGCGACGUCGGCCUCGUCUGUCGCAUGGUCGACGCGUACCACGACAACAAGGAAGAGAGGCUGUACGUCACGUCUCAGGUUGUGGGGAGGUUUCGAGUCGACCGCGUCGUGACGGACGGGAAUCCGUUUUUCGUCGCGGAGACGAGCCAGGCGCGUUCGUAUUCACACUGGUCCCCAUACGAACUCGUCCGCGUGGUGAACGCCGAUCCUUAAGGACUUUUCCACCCGUCGUCACUCUCCGCCCACACCUCGCUCGCUUUCAAUCCCCGCCCCUAUGACGCCUUUCAACUCCGUCUGACGCCUUUGAACUCCGCAGGUUUUGGACCAAGUCCCGGAAGACGACGAGGGCGCGAAGGCGCUGGCGGAGGAGGAGGCGGACGUGUGGCGCCUCCUGAAACAACUCGAAACGCUCUCCGCGAAGACGAAAGAGGGUGACGGCGCGCAGAUCGACUACGACAUGCGGCGGUGCUCGCCGGAUCCCAAGGAGCGGCCGCCGUGGGACGCGGACCCGCCCGCGCCGGAGCGACGCGCGGAGAUGUUUUCGUGGGCGGUGACGCGGCGACUGGGGUUGGGUGCGUUCUAUACACACGUUUUUCACCCGUCCAUCGGUUUCAACAUUUGAUCGCGUGGGUCCCUUUCAACUGACCGAUGAACUAUUUUUGUACGGAACGACCCUCAGAGCCGCGCGAGCAUCUGGACGCGGUGCGCACGACGCACACGUCCGCGCGCCUCGCGCAGGUGAAGAGCGCGCUGACGGAGGGGGUGAACUACCUCGCCGCGGUGAGCGCGCUGCAGGGCGCGGAGGGGGGCGGGGAGGGCGGGGGGGGCGAAUGAAGAAAUCUUUUCGCCCUCCACAGCAUUUUAUUCCGAAACGAACGCGUGUCCGUACUACGCGAGAUUCGUACUCGCGUGACUGUUUGCUCGUGCGGGCUAGCGGGCGCCGUCGAGCCGUUGACGGCCGUUUUCUCGUUCGUCGUGUCGUCGUUCUCGUUCUCGGUCCCCCCCACCGCGCGCGUCGCAUUCCCGCGCCGCGCCGCGACCGCCGCUCGCACCUCGGCGUUCCCCGCGCAUCGCGCAUCGCACCGCGCCGCGAAGACCACCGCGCGCGCCGCGCCGCAUCGCAUCGCGUCGCAUCGCGUCGCGUCCGUCGCGUCCGUCGCGUCCGUCGCGUCCGUCGCGUCGCGCGAAGAGAGCAUCAUGUUCGUGGAAGAGGUGUGCAUCGACGGGUUCAAGUCGUACGCGCAGCGGACUGUCGUCCCCGCGUUCGACCCUCUGUUCAACGCCAUCACCGGUCUGAACGGCUCGGGGAAGAGCAACAUCCUGGACUCGAUAUGCUUCGUGCUCGGCAUCACGAACCUGACGCAGGUGCGCGUCGUCGUCGUCGUCGUCGUCGUCUGUUUUCCCUCCGCUGCGCUGUUCCCCCCCGAAUGAAUGAAUGAACGAGUCUCCGAGAUCCGCGGCCGACGCGCGCGCGGCGUCGGAGGGCGCCGCACCGCGCGCGCGCGACGCGGGGGGUCCCGCGUGGACGUCCUCAGAGGAGAUAGACGACGACGCGUCGCGCGCGCGGAGAAGGGGGGGAGGGGUCCCGCGCCGCCGGCGUCGCGCGUUGGAUCCCGCGCGCCCCCCGCGCGAACGACGCGACGACAGACGCGAAACCGAACCGAAAACCGAAAACUGACGAACGCCGACGCGCCCGCCGUCCUACCCCAUCCUCCAGGUUCGAUGCUCGUCGCUGCAAGAGCUCGUGUACAAGCAAGGCCAAGCCGGCGUCACGAAAGCGUCCGUGUCCAUCACGUUUAACAACUCGGACCGCUCGCGUUCCCCCGUCGGAUACGAGCACUGCGACCAGGCGCGUUCGCAUUCGUACUAGUCCCCAUACGACCCCGUUCGCGUGGUGCACGCCGAUCCUUAAGGACUUCACUUCCCGGCGCAUCUCUCCGCCCACCCCCCGCUUUCAAUCCCCGCCCUCGGCGCCUUUCAACGCCGACUGACGCCUUCCAACUCCACCCACCCUCGACCCUCGUCGAUCAUUCAGAUCGUCGUCACGCGGCAGAUCGUCAUCGGCGGGCGGAACAAGUACCUCAUCAACGGGCACGUCGCGCAGCCGACGAGGGUUCAGAACUUGUUUCACUCCGUGCAGCUCAACGUGAACAACCCGCACUUUCUCAUCAUGCAAGGGCGGAUCACGAAGGUGUUGAACAUGAAGCCGCCGGAGAUUCUCGGCAUGCUCGAAGAAGCCGCGGGGUGCGUCCUCCAAUCACAUCACGCCAUGUCAUCAGUAUGUAUUCGUCCACGUCACCGCGUCUAACCAAUCAACUCACGUCCAUACAUCGCCACGUCAUCAAUCAAUACCUCCAUCCAAUCCAAUCCAAUCAGGACGCGCAUGUACGAGAGCAAGAAGGAGGCGGCGCUCAAGACGCUCGAUAAGAAGCAGACCAAGGUGGACGAGAUCGACAAGCUCCUGGAGGAAGAGAUCUUGCCGACGAUCGAGAAGCUUCGCAAAGAGCGCGGCGAUUACAUGAAAUGGGCGUCCGGGAACGACGCGCUGGAGCGCCUCCGCAGGUUUUGCGUCGCGUACGAGGUGCGUUCUAUCUUACACUGGUCCCCAUACGACCGCGUCGGCGGGGUGAACGCCGAUCCUUAAGGACUUCUCUUCCCGGCGGCGCAUCUCUCCGCCCAGGGUCCCUCGCUUUCAAUCCCCGCCCUCGAUGCCUUUCAACUCCACCCCUGACGCCUUACAAUUCCACCCAAAACCUUCGAAUUCAGUACGCCAACGCGAGGGCGGCGCUCGAGGAGGACGCCGUCGGCGAGUUGAAGACGAAGAUCGACGACCUCGAUGCCAGGGCGAUCGACCGCGCGGAUCAGAGCGACGCGAUCGACGCGGAGAUGAAACGUCUGAGCGACGAGCGAAAGGCGCACGAGAGCGGCGACGCGAAGGCGUUAACGGACGUCGUCGAGGCGUUAUCGAAAACGCUCGUGAAGGACCAAGCCGCGGCGAGCCACAAGAAGGACGCGGUGAAGGCGGAAAAGAAGCAGGCGCGUUCUCCUCACACUGGUUCCCAUACGGCCGCGUUGGCGUGGUGAACGCCGUUUCUUAAGGACUUUUGCCAUCGUCUCUCUCCGCCCAGGGUCCCUCGCUUUCAAUCCCGACACACCUCGACGCCUUUCAACUUCAACUGACGCCUUUGAACUCCACCCCGACUUCGCUUUGUAGGUUGAAAAACUCGUCAAGCAAGCGAAGCAGCACGAGGAGCAGGUCGCGAAGGACGAGGAGCGGCUCUCGAAGAUGCGCGACAGCAGCGACGCGGCGGCCGACGCGCUCGCCGCCGCGGAGAAGGCGGUUGAAGUCGCGGAGGUGACACUUCAAGGCGUCACCAGCGGCAGCGGCGCCGGCGGCGACGGCAACAAAUCGCUUCAGACGCAGCUCGGCGACGCGACUUCCGCGAUCGCUUCCGCGGACGCGGACGCCAAGGCGGCCGCGCUCAAGGCGAAGCACGCGGAGAAGGAGCUCAGCGCGAAGAAGAAGCAGCGCGCGGCGAAGGAGAAGGAGGGAGACAAGCUCUCGAAGGACCUGUCCGCGGCGACGGCGAAGCGCGACGCCGCGGUGGACGCGUAUGAGAACGCGAGCGGCGGGUGCACGCCCGAUCGACUCGCCGAGCUCGAGGCGUCCAGGGACUUCGCGGAGCGAAACGUGCGAGCCGCGCAGGAGAAGGUGGACGUCCUCUGCGGGCAGCUCGCGGGUCUGGACUUUAAGUUUAAAGACCCGGAGGCGAAGUUUGACCGAGGGCGGGUGAAAGGUGUGGUCGCCGCGCUCAUGAAGGUGAAGGAUCCCGCGAUGUCCACCGCGCUCGAGGUUGUCGCCGCCGGGAAGCUGUACCAGGUGGUCGUCGACACGGAAGUCACGGGCAAGGCGCUCCUGUCGAGAGGCCAGCUCCAGAAGCGCGUGACGAUCAUACCCCUGAAUAAGGUGCGUUCUAUACACUGGUCCCCAUACGACCCCGUCCGCGUGGUGAACGCCGAUCCUUAAGGACUUUUGCCGUCGUCUCUCUCCGCCCACCCCUCGCUUUCAAUCCCCGUUCUCGACGCCUUUCAACGCCAACUGACGCCUUUCAACUCCACCCCGACAUCGCUUUGUAUGGUAUGGCCCUAAGAUCGACGCGCGGAUUGCGUCGGAGGGGCAAAUCGCCGCCGCGACCGAGGCGUCCGACGGCGACGCGAGGCUCGCGCUGUCGCUCGUGACGUGCGACGCGGAGGUGCAAAACGUCAUGAACUACGUCUUCGGGAGGGCGUUCGUGUGCAAGGACGCGUCCACGGCGAGGGCGGUGGCGUUCGAUAAGAACGUGUUGACCAACUGCGUCACCGUGGAGGGCGACCUGUUGAACCCGAGCGGGUUGCUCACCGGCGGGUCGAGGAACAACUCGCACAGCGUCCUCGCGAAGCUUCACGCGCUGCACGAGGCGGAGAAGGCUCUCGGCGAGCUGAAAAUCGUCGCGAGAGAAGCGUCCGACGCCGCGAAGACGGCGGCGAGAGAGGCGAAAGCGAGCGAAGGCUUGGAAGCCGCCGUCGACGCCGCCGAGCACGCGCUCGGGUUGGUCAAGGCGAAGAUCGAAGGGAGCGAAUCGCACGCGCUCGCCUCCGCGGUGGAAGCGCUCGAGAAGGACCUGAUGGACGCGAAAGCCGCGGGCGAAGCCGCGAAAGAUGCGAAAGCCGCCGCGACCGAUCGCGCGUCCGCGCUCGAGAAGGAGAUCGCGUCGUUCGCGAAGGAGCGCGACGCGCGGUUAAAGGAGGCGGAGAAGGCGCUGAAGCUGGCGCGCGCCGACGUCGCGGCCAAACGCGACGAGAUUAAAACCGUCGAAACCGUGAUGCGAGACGCCAAGGUUGAGCGCGAGUCCGCGGCGGCGGAGCGCGUCGCGAUCGCGGAGAACGUCGCCGCCGCGGAGACCGCGGUGGCGGAACUCGAGGGCGAGCUCGCGGCGCUCGAGGCGGUCGUCGCGUCGCGCGCGAAGGAGCACGACGACGCGACGAAGGAGCUCGCGAAGUGCCGCGCGAAGAUGGCCGCGUGCGAUGAAGAGGCGGCGGCGCUCCGAAAGAAGCAGACGCGCAUCGAGCGCGCGGCGGACGCCGACGCCGUGGAGCGCAAAAAGCUUGAACACAAAAUCGCGCGCGUCGAAAAAGAAGCCGCGGAGGGCAAGGCGCGCUGCGCGAAACUCGAGGAGGAGCACCCGUGGAUCGCCUCCGAAGCGUCGCGGUUCGGCGUGCGCGGCGGCGAGUACGACUGGGCGUCCCGCGACCCGGACGCCGCGGCUGCCGAGCUCGCGGACGCGGAGGCGGCGCAGGCGACCCUGGCCAAGCGCAUCAACAAAAAGGUGAUCGCGAUGUUCGACAAAGCAGAAGGCGAGUUUAAAGCGUUGCAAGAGAAGCGACGCAUCGUCCUCGACGACCGGAAGAAGAUCCAGGACGUCAUCGGCGAGCUGGACGAGAAGAAGAAGGAGGCGCUGUCCGUGACGUGGAACAAAGUCAACGCGGAUUUCGGCUCCAUCUUCUCCACGCUUCUCCCCGGCACGAGCGCCAAGCUGGAGCCUCCCGAGGCGCGUUCUAGUAUCACACUGGUUCCCAUACGACCCCGUCGGCGUGGUGAACGCCGAUCCUUAAGGACUUCUAAUCCAGGCGUCUCUCUCCACCCAUCACCCCUCGCUUUCAAUCCCGACACACCUCGACGCCUUUCAACUUCAACUGACGCCUUUCAACUCCAGGGUGAGUCGUUCCUCGCCGGGCUCGAGGUGCGAGUCGCGUUCGGGGGCGUGUGGAAAGAGUCGCUCACCGAGCUGAGCGGCGGGCAGCGGUCGCUGCUCGCGCUGUCGCUCAUCCUCGCGCUUCUGCUGUUCAAGCCCGCGCCGAUUUACAUUCUCGACGAGGUGGACGCCGCGUUGGACUUGUCGCACACGCAAAACAUCGGCCGCAUGAUCGCGCAGUACUUUCCGUACUCGCAGUUCAUCGUCGUGUCGUUGAAGGAGGGGAUGUUUAACAACGCCAACUGCAUCUUCAGGACGAAGUUCGUCGACGGCGUGUCCACGGUGACGAGGACGGUGCCGGCGCUGAAGGAUAAGGCGGCGCUGAACAAAGCCGCCGGGGAUGGCGGCGGGUUUGGCGUCAGCGACGCCGCGCAGAAGCGAAGAGCGGCGGGGGCGAAGGGGAAGGGGAAGGAAAACUAAACGCUACGUACGCGGGGGGUUGGUCGCGGGCGACGCCGACGGGGAACUGUUUGUCGACGGGGCGCGGGGAUUUAACUAACGAACUCACGGGUGAUGAUGAUGAUGAUGAUGAUGAUGAUGAUGAUGUAAAGAAUGCGAUCGGUAUGACCAAUUAAACGACGUCCCCGCCGCGAUGUUCGCGGCGCGGCUGUUUCUUUCUGUUCGACCCUCGAAAACUACAACGCGCCCUGCCGCUGCGUGCAUUUUUUACGUCAAAAAGUCUCUCCGCCUCCAACGAACACGCCGCGCGUCAGGUCGUCGUCUCAGAUCCGCCCGCGCGGCGCCGCGAAGAGGGACCAAAUGAUGGCGUCGUCGUCGCCCUCCGGGUCCCCCCCCCCCCCCCCCGCGACGCAUCAGCUGAUCACCGCGUCCGGCGACCUCCUCGAGCCGCCGCUCCACGCGUACCUCUCCUCGCUCCCGAACGGCGAGGACUACCUCCGAUGGAACGACGCGUACCAGGUGGUCGCCAUCAUGGGCCCGCAGAGCAGCGGCAAGAGCACGCUGCUGAACCACGUCUUCGGCGUGCGAUUCGACGAGAUGAACGCGGACUUGGGGAGGUCGCAGACGACGAAGGGCGUGUGGCUGUCGCGCGCGGCGAGCGGCGGCGACGACGCGGCGGUCCCGACGCUCGUCAUGGACCUCGAGGGGACCGACGGACGAGAGCGCGGCGAGGACGACACCGCGUUCGAGAAGCAGACCGCGCUGUUCGCGAUGGCCGCCGCGGACGUGCUCCUGGUGAACAUGUGGUGCAACGACAUCGGGAGAGAAGUCGCGAGCGGGAAGCCGCUCCUGAAGACGAUCUUCCAGGUCAACCUCAAGGUGUUCAACCCGAAGAAAACCACGCUACUUUUCGUCAUCCGCGACAAAUCCAGGACGCCGCUGGAGAUGCUCGAGGCUAACCUGCGGGAAGACUUGGGUGCGUUCGUAUUCACACUGGUCCCCAUACGACCGCGUCGGCGUUGUGAACUUCAUUCCUUAAGGACUUUCUCUCCCGGCGGGCGUUUCUCUCCGCCCACCCAUCGCUUUCAAUCCGCGACGCCUUUCAACUCCGCUUCUGACGCCUUUCAACUCCACCCCGAAAUAUCGCUUCGAAUAAUGGAACCACCCUCAUCGACCCUCAUCAGAUCGCAUCUGGACCGCGAUGAAGAAGCCGGAAAAGCACGCCGACGCCGCCUUCGACGCCUUCUUCACGCUCAAGUUCGUCGCGCUGUCGCACUACGAGCACGCUCACGAGAAAUUCGUGGAGGACGCCGAGGUGCGUUCUACACACUGGUCCCCAUACGACCGCGAUCGCGUGGUGAACGCCGAUCCUUAAGGACUUUUGCCGGCGCAUCUCCCCGCCCACGCCAUGGUUUCAAUCCCCGACCACGACGCCUUUCAACUCCUACUGACGCCUUUCAACUCCACCCCGACAUUCGCUCGUAUGGAACGACCCUGAGGCGCUCCGCGAGCGCUUCUCGCUGCCGCCGUCGGACCCGCGAUCGCUGCGGCCGAGCGGCGACGACGGCAGAGCGGCGGUGCCCGCGGCGGGCUUGGUCGUGUCGUGGAGAGAGGCGUGGCGCGCGGUGAAAGAGAACCGCGAUCUCGACCUCCCCGCGCACAACGUCAUGGUCGCGACGGUGCGAUGCGAGGAGAUCGCGCGCGAGCGGCUGGCGUGCGUGGCGUCCGACCGCGAGAUCGCGCACCUGAGCGCCGCCGUCGCGUCCGGGCCGGGGUGCGUUCAUAUUUACACUGGUCCCCAUACGACCGCGUUGGCGUGAUGAACGCCGAUCCUUAAGGGCGUUUCUCUCCGACCACCCCCCGCUUUCAAUCCCCGACCCUAUGACGCCUUUCAACUCCGCUUCUGACGCCUUUGAACUCCACCCCAGACCGAGAGGCAUCGCCGAGACGUUGACCGGGUUGACGCGUUCGGCGCUCGAAAAGUACGACGAGGACGCGGGGUACUUCGACGCGACGGUUCGCAACGCGAAACGUCGCGAGCUGGCCUCGCGGCUCGUCCUCGCGCUGCGGAAGAUCGUCGCGAAGCACCUGACGCACGUCAAGGAGGCGGUCGCGAGGGACGCGAAAGACGCGAUUCGCGCGAGGAGGUGAGACUGCUUCCCAUACGACCCCGUUCGCGUGGUGCACGCCGUUCCUUAAGGACUUUUCCCGUCGUCACUCUUCACCCGCGCUUCCCUUUCAACGUACGUUUGACCGGUAAGACGUUCGACUGACCGAUCGCUUCACCCACGAAGGACUCGAGCGGAGGACUCGAGAACGACUUCGGGGUUCGCCGCUCUCGCCGCCGCGGCGUCGGCGGAGGCGCGCGCGAAGUGGCGCGACGCGAUCGCGGACGCGGUCCCGAACGACGGCGACGACGGCGACGACGAAAGCGGCGGCGCGAAGACGGCUUCGGGUGCUGCCGUGGAUGCCGACGUGGACGAAUCAGACGCGGACGCCGCCGCCGCCGCAGCGACGUGGUCCCGCGUCGCCGCCGUCGCCACCGCCGAGCUCGAGCGCGAGCUCGCGGCGAUCGUCUCCGCGGAGCGUAAAACCCGCGUCGACGAGGACGUGCGCGCGAUCGAGCGCGUCAUGGAGCGCCACGUGGCUGCUGACGUGUCGAGCCUCCUCGACGACGCCCCCGCGGACGCGUGGGCGAAGCUCGAAAAGAUUUUACUCGCGGCGGCGAAAAAAUACGUCGGCGUCGUCUCGAGGUGCGUUCUAUACACUGGUCCCCAUACAACCGCGUUCGCGUGGUGAACGCCGAUCCUUAAGGACUUUGCCCGGCGCAUCUCUCCGCCCAGGGUCCCUCGCUUUUAAACCCCGCCCUCGGCGCCUUUCAACUUCAACUGACGCCUUUGAACUCCACCCCGACGUGUAUAGAACGCUCGCCGGUUUCGAACUCGACGCGACCGAGCUCGCCGCGCUGACGACCGCGAUGGCGAAGCGCGUGCACGAGACCGUGGACGCGCGCGUGAGAGACGCCGCGAGCCCGACGUGCGUCGUGGAGUCGAUGAAGACGGCGUUCUCGCGCGUCUUUUCGAAGGACACGAAGGCGCGCGCGAGCUACGCCCUAAACGCAUUUCUUUCUUUCAUCACCCGUUCAUCAUCGUUCGGUUUCGUUCGAUCAACACUUCUUCAUCGCGUGCGUCUCCUUUCUUUCAACUGACCGAUGAUCGAACAUUCAUUCAUUGCACGGAACGAUCCGCGUCAUCAAUCAGGGUUUGCCCAAGACGUGGCGCGCGAACGACGACGUCGCGGCGGCGAACGCGCGCGCGCGACGCGAGGCGGUCAGGGUGCUCGGGCUCCUCGCCGUGUGCCGGCUGCCAGCCUGGCGUGGGGACGUGGCGGCCGGCCACGUGGCGGCGGUGUCGGACAUGUCGGACAUGUCGGACAUCGGCGCGAGCCCGACGCGGCGCGGGGGCGACCCGGCGGCGUGGUUCGCGCCGCGAGCGGAGGCGCUGGACGCCGCGUCGCAAGACGUCGUCGACGCGGCGCUCAGCGGGUUCGCGGCGACGGCGGGUUCCGACGUCGUGGACGAAUCAGGAGGCGAGAAAGCGAAUCUCGUGACGAAUGACGUGGCGGCAUCUGAUUCGCGCGCGGGCGCGACUGACGACGACGACGACGACGGCUUCCCCGGCGAGUGGCCGGGCGCGAAGGACGAAGAUGUGAUGCUCUCCCCGGCGCAGUGUAAGCGCGCGUGGAAAAAAUUCGAGAGCGAGAUCGCGUACGCGGUGUCCCAAGCCCUCAACGCGGUCGAGGCCGCCGCGCGCGGUGGGUCGCCGUCGGCGCCGGCGUGGAUGAUCGCGCUGUUGAUCGUCUGCGGCUUCGACGAGAUGAUGUGGCUUUUGCGGCAUCCGUUUUCGGCGACGCUGUUGCUCGCGGUUUUUUUGUUCGGACGCGCGCUGUACAACAACCUGGACGUGGAGGUGCGUUCUAGUAUCACACUGGUCCCCAUACGACCGCGUUCGCGAGGUGAACGCCGUUCCUUAAGGACUUUACUUCCCGGCGGGCGUUUCUCUCCGCCCAGGGUCCCUCGCUUUCAAUCCCGACACACCUCGAUGCCUUUCAACUCCGCUUCUGACGCCUUUGAACUCCGCCCCGACGAUGCUUUGAACGAUGGAACGAUAGGCCGCGAUGAAGAUGGGCGUGAUCCCGGGGCUCGUGUUUCUCAGCACGAAGAUCAUCCCCACCGCGAUCGUCGUGUUGAAGCGGUUGAUGGACGAAGGGAACAACGCACCGAUCGCCGUCGCGGACGCCGCGGGCAAGGCGAAGGUGGAGACCGAUCCGGGGGGGGGCGGAUCCCCGGGGGAGCGACCCGAGGUGCGUUCUAUACACUGGUUCCCAUACGACCGCGUUGGCGAGGUGGACGCCGAUCCUUAAGGACUUUUCCUGGCGCAUCUCUCGGCCCUACCCCCGCUUUCAAUCCCCACCCUCGGCGCCUUUCAACUCCAACUGACGCCUUUCAACUCCACCCCGACAUUCGCUCAGAGCCGCGUCGGACGCGUGCACGUCUCCGGCGACGGCGCGCGUCGCAGGGUCGCCGUCGCGGAGGAGUCCCAAUACGCUCAGCUCGUGAGCUAAAGCAUCGGAGGAGGGAUGCGAGGAGAAGAGAGCGAGAGCGAGAGCAGAGCGCGCGGCGGCGAGGCGAGGCGAGGAACGAUCGAUCGAACGACGGAACAUUGCAAUUGCAUCUUUUUUCCUUCGAGGCUUCGCUUCACUUAGCCGCCAUCCUUCGUUCGCCUACGCGUCAUCCUCCGGCCCGCCCACGACGACGCUCUUCAGCCACGCGAACGAAUCGUCGCCGAUCAUCCAGAACAGCCCGAACCCCGCGGCGGCGCCCCACCCCGCGAGCGUCGUCACCGUCGACACCGGCGGGAUCAUCUUCACCGGAAUCUGCUUGUACAUGGCCUUGGGAACGAACAUCUCCGCGAUCUCGCGCAUGACGACUGGACUGGACGCGCGCUGCGAGCGCGUGCGUGCCUCGAGCGGUGGUGCCUUUCGUUCGUUUCUGCGAGCGCGGCGCGCGCGAUGAGAGGCGAGACGGGCGAGCGGGGGCGCGAUCGAUCGGUCGGUCAGCGAGGCGCGUUCGUCGAAGGUGGUGGUUUAUUUUUUAGGGUAUCUUAUUUUUCGAGCGGCGCGGCGAGCGGAGCGAACGAUCGCGCGGGGGAGGGGAGAGAUCGCGGCGACGCGACGCGACGCGCGAGCGCGCGCGGCGAGCGCGCGCGGGGAAACGCGCGCGCGGGGAUGGUGGGGGGGAGAGGACGCACCCGUGACGCGUGCGCGGCGACGGCGGGUGUGCGGCGACGGAGGGAGGGAGGAGCGCCGUGCCUCUUCGAGCCCGCCCGCGAUUUUUCCUGUCGCUGCGCGCUUCGCGCCAGCGCCAUCGACGACAGGAGCGCGUCCGAGUCCGGUCCGAGUCAUGCAAUUUUUAUCGCUCCCUCGCUCGCCCUCCCUCCCCGGGUGGGUUCACACGUCGCCGCGCGGAGGGGCCCCACUCGCGGGAGGCGCCCGAAGCGAGCGCGGGGAGGGAGGACGCGCGGAGGCCGCGGCGCGAGCGACGCGCGCGCGCGAGAAGUCGGGUGCGAACCCGCCCGGGCGGAAUCGAGCGAGCGAGCGAGCGCGCAUUAUCACUAUUUUCCCUUCCCGCGCGCCCGCGCGAGUUCAGCGAGCGCGCGUCGAGCUCGGUGAGACGCGCGUCGUUCGUCGAUCCUCGCCGCGGUCGCGCCGCCGACGCGCGGAACAGCACCGCGCGCGUUUCACCGAGCUCGACGCGCGAGCGCGCGGCCGUCGCGCGCGGUCUCGCGCCGUCUCGCGCCGCGCGAGCGCGCGCGCGCGCUCCGCGCGUCGUCGCCGAGGGAAUAAACGAAUUACCUGUAUUCACGCGCUCCCCCCCAUCCACCCCCCCCCGUCCGUCCGUCGCGACAGCUGUCAUGGCGUAUCGCCCCGGCGACCAGGUCUGGGCGAAAGUCGAGGGCUACCGAUGGUGGCCCGCGACGGUCCUCGACCCGAAAGAGCACGCGGAGUGGAAGGGCGGCGGAACCAAGGGCGGCUCGAUGAGCGGCGCGGGCGGUGAUUUGAGAGACGAACGCGACGAAAAACGCGUGCUCGUCCGAUUCCAUCACACGAACGAUUUCGGCUCUCUGCGCGACUGCAAGAUACUCGACUUCGAGACGCACAAGAGGGAGAAGUCGCGCGGGGGGAAGAAAGCGAGCGGGUUCGCGCAGGCGGUCGCCGCCGCGGAGGCGGCGUCGACGCGCGCCGGCGGGGGGAGCGCAUUAAACGGCGCCGGCGUCGAAAGCGGCGGGGAGCGACCCGCGGCGGCGCCCACCGCGGCGAAGCGUCGGACGCCCACGAAACCACCACCCUCCAAGCCGCCGCAGCCGCCGCACGCGCACACGUCGUCGGGUAAGACGGCGGCGGAAGAUGAAACGUCGAUCGUCGCUGCUACGCCGGAUGAACGAUUCAAGGGCGUGUUCCGACUCCCGGGCGGCGCGGCGGCGGCGCGUUGGGAAGCCCGCGUCGACGUCUCGGGCGCGACGGUUGACGUUUCACAUUCUGCCUCUACCGCGACCGCGACCGCGAUCGGCGUGUUCCCCACGCCCGAGGAAGCCGCGCAGGCGCACGACGUCGCGCUCGUCGCCGCGCUCGGGGCGUCGAAGUGCGUCGGACGCGUCAACUUUUCGCUCGAGAUGUACGGCGGCGGCGGCGGCGACGGCGGCGGCGGCGGCGGCGGCGGCGGCGGCGGCGGCGUGUCGUCGGCGCGCGGCGCGGGUCCCGGUCGCCGAGCCGCCGCGGCGAGAGGCGAGGCGAGCCGGAGGGAGGUUGGGAAGAACGGGUUCGCGGUGAUCGAAGGCGCGCUCGGCGCGGGCGUCGGCGGCGGCGGCUUGAAACGCGAGGAAGACGAUUCUGACGACGACGACGACGAUUCUGACGACGACGACGACGCGGUCGCGCGCUCGAGCUCGAGCGACGACGAAGAGAGCGAAGAAGAAGAGGGGGAGAACGACGAAGCGCAAACGCGCGAGGACGCGCUCGCGGCGUUCGCCGCGCGCAGGCUCGGCGGUUUCGGCGCCAAGUCGCGCGCGUUCUGGUGCGUUCGUAUUUACACUGGUCCCCAUACGACCGCGUCGGCGUGGUGAACGCCGAUCCUUAAGGACUUUCUCUCCCGGCGCAUCUCUCCGCCCAGGGUCCCUCGCGUUCAAUCCCGAUACACCGCUUCUGACGCCUUUCAACUCCGCUUCUGACGCCUUUCAACUCCAUCCCGACGUUCAGCCCGGACGCCGUCGGCGGAAGCGACGAGCUCCGCGGCGUGGACUUCUCGCACGCGAUGGAGGCGUACUUGGGGGUGAACGACCCCGCGAAGGCGCACGUCGUCGCGGGGCUCGGGCUCCACCUCACGGAUGUGGAGGUUUUGAGAGGGAAGGACGCGCGGGAGGCGGCGGCGGCGUUUGAGGCGGCGGCCAGGCGCGGCGGCGGAUCAGGCGGCGACUCGAGGGCCCCGCGGCGGGACGCGUUCGCGGCCGCGAAGGAGGGCAUCGAAGGCGGCGGCCGAGGCGGGGGCGCGUCUGCUGCGUCCGCGAGCGCGAGCGCGAGACGACACACUGUCGUAGGACAGCACGCCGCGGCCGCGGCGGCGCACGCGUCCAAAGCCCGCGCCGCCGCGGCUGAGGCGGCUGCGCUCGUCGACGCGGUCGCCGCGUCCGGUACCGUCGGAAAAACUGUCGGAUGUCCGAACACGAAGGCGUGCCACCAGUGUCAGCAUCAGCACGUCCCGAGGUCGUGCCGAGCGCGGAGAGCGGGUCCCGGGAGCCACGCGGCGGGUAAGGGCGGCGGAUCAGGCGGCGCAGCGCAGUGCGGUUUGUCGUACUGCGACGGGUGCGUCCGAAAAUUUUAUCGCGACGGCGACGGCGGGCUCACGCGCGACGACGUCGAGCGCAUUUGCCCCAAGUGCCGCGGCGUGUGCAACUGCCGAGCGUGUCUGCGCCGGGACCCCGGCCCGCCGCCGACGGUGUCGGACAAACUGUCGGAAAGUACGACACGUCAGCUGUACGAACACUUUCUCCGACGCGCCGCCGCGCCGAUGCUCGCGUCGGACGCCGCGGAGCGAAAGGAGAUCGACGCGGAGAUCGAGUGCGGCGUAAAUAACGGCGCCGUCGCCCCCGGGUACUACGGAUACUCGGACGCGUCGCACGCGAGCGGGUGGCGCCUGUUCUGCGACGCGUGCGGGAGCGCGGUCGCGAACCUGCACCGGAGCUGCUGGGCGUGCGAGGUGGACGUGUGCGGCGACUGCUGCGCGGAUUUAAGACGCGGAAACACCGUGGGAAAACCCGCGGCGACGCUCGCGAGCGCGCUCAUCAUGGGGGGCAGCGGUGGUGUCGGCGGCGGCGGCGGCGGGAAGAGGAAAGCGCAUCAGCCGCCGCCGCCGCCGCCGCAGCCGACGUCGUCCGGCGGCGGCGGGGAUCGAACAGGCGGCGAAGGGUGGUUCAACGCGUCGCACACGGAGGCGGAGCUCAGCGCGAUGCCGCUGAAGAAGCGUCUGAAGCUGCGGGCGAUGAAGGCGGCGAAGGAGGUGCGUUCUAUACACUGGUCCCCAUACGACCCCGUUCGCGUGGUGAACGCCGAUCCUUAAGGACUUUUUCCGUCGUCACUCUUCACCCGCGCUUCCCUUUCAACGUUUGACCGGUAAGACGUUCGACUGACCGAUCGCUUCACCCACACAGUACGAAACCCUCGCGGACGCGGCGACGAAGGCGGAGGAGGAGGAAGGGGCCGUGUCGAGGAAGAUGUCGUCGGGGACGGAGGACGUCGAGUCUCGCGGUUUCGAGUCGACGGCGGUUUCGGUUUCGGUUUCGACGGCGGUUCAACCGGUUUCAACCGCCGCGGCUUCCGGGGUCAAGCCAGAACCCCCGGUUUCAACCGCGGGCGCGCCCCUGAAACCGCUCCCGCUCGUCGUCCACGCCACCGCGGACGAGACGGACCCGAGCGCGGAGCCGAUUUUGUGCCUGAAGUGCACGCGGCCGCUGGAGCUGCGCGCGUGCAUCGAACGCGCGUGGCUCCGCGGGAUUUACGACUCGCCGCACGUGGCGAAACACGCGAAGCGCGACGCGUCGGCGGCGGUCGCGGUGGAAUCUUUUGAUUCGAAAUCAUCUGAUUCGGAUGAUUCGGAUUCGUGUCCGUGUCCGUGGUGCGCGAAACUGAGCGACGAGGACGCGCCGGUGAUGUCGACGCGCACGUCGGGCGAGGGCGGCGGCGCGGUGGACGCGCGCGUGUGGCGUCCGCGAGCGGCGGAUCUCGCGCGCGCGCUAUCGUCGUCGUCAGACGACGCGCGCGGGGUCGGGGCGCACGAAUCACGCGAUGACACGUCAGCAUCAUGUUUGACGACGAAUUCGGACAAUCUCCGACACUUCCAGUGGCACUGGUCCAGAGGCCACCCGGUGAUCGUGACGGAGGUGGAUCUCGGCGGGAUGUCCUGGUCCCCCGCCGUCAUGGAGCGCGCGUACGCCAACCACGGCCAGGCGCGUUCUAUACACUGGUCCCCAUACGACCGCGUUGGCGUGGUGAAUGCCGAUCCUUAAGGACUUUUCCCGGCGUCUCUCUCCGCCCACACCUCGGUUUUAAUCCCCGCCCUCGACGCCUUUCAACUUCGACUGACGCCUUUGAACUCCACCCCGACAUUCGCUUGUAUAGAACGGCCCUCAGACUACUUCACGCGACGCGUACGGCGGCCAGGGCGCGGGUGCGAACAACAGUAACGCGUCAGGAUACGGCGGCGUUGCCGUCACCGCGGGCGGGCGUUCCACCGUCUCCGACCGCAUGGUCCCCGUCAUGAACUGCGCGCCGAGCGGGAACGUCUCUAAAGAACGCGAGGAGGCGAUGACGACGCACGAUUUCUUCAAAGGCUUCGUCGACGCCGCCGCGUUCGACGGCGCGCUGUAUCGACUGAAGGACGUCGACGCGUCCGCCGCCUCUCAAAUGAGCUCAAAUGACGCCUCGGCACGCGUGGACCGACUCCCGCGGCAUCACCGAAGGUUAAUUUCGCGCGGUUUGCCGUUUCAAGAGUACACCAACCCCGAGGAUGGUCCGAUGAACGCGACGACGCAUCUGCCGCGAAGAACCGUCGGCGGCGCCGCGCUCAAAGUCUCCGUCGACGCGGCGUCCCGCCCGAGGCACCACGUCGCCUACGGCCGCGUGGAAGAAAACGGCCUGGGCGACUGCGUUACCAGGCUCACGGCCGGGUCAGGCGCGGACGUCGUCGACGUCAUGACGUACGCGUGCGACGCGACGACGAAGAGCCGCGUCGGUCAGGGCGCGGAGUGGCACGUGUUUCGCAGACGAGACGCGGCGGCGGUGGAGUCGUUUCUUAAAAGGCGGCGGAAGCAUCUGACGCAUCGCCCGAAGGACGGCGCGAAGGUGCACCACCCGCUGCACGACGGCGUGUUCUUCCUCACCGCGAACGAUCUGGAGAUUCUGCGCGCGGAGAGCAAGGGCGCGAUCGCGCCGUGGACGUUCACGCAGCGCGAGCGCGACGCCGCGUUGAUUCCCGCGGGGUGCCCGCGGCAGAUUCGGAAUUUGUCGUCGACGCUGAGGGUCGCGAUCGAAUUCGCGUCGCCGGAGAGCGCCGCCGCGGCGCUGCGGGCGAGCGACGAGCGGCGCGCGCUGCCGGAGAAUCACGUCGCGCGGAGGAGCGAAGAGAAGACGCACCCGAUGGUCGCGCUGCUGCACGCCGCGAACGACGCGGUGCGGUAUCUCGACCGGGCGGCGGCGGAGUGAUCGAUGACCUAUGGUCAUCAUGGAGAUCGUAAGUUGUCGUGUGACUGGGAUUUAUUAUUUUGGAAUAAAAUCAACUCGGUUCCUCGCGACGUCGACGUCAUCGGACCCUUCUUUCUACCCCCCCUUCCUUCCUUCCUUCCUUCCUUCACGCGUUGAAGAUGUACAGCGAGUUCGACGCCGCGCACGCGAGGACGUCCUCCCGCGGGUGCCACGCCAUGUGCAGCGUCUUGGUCGGGAAGUCUGCCGACCCCGGUCCGACACCCGCGCCCGCGCCCGCCGCCGCCGCCGCCGCCGCCGCCGCCGCCUUCUUCCCGUCGGCGCCGCCCUCCGCCGCCAUGCCCUGCUGCCGCAACCGCCGCAACCGCUGCGGAUUCUUCGUCACCUCGAGCGUGUCCGUCCCGCCGCUGUGCGAAUCAAACGUCCGGAACUGGUUCCCGUACGACCCCGUCGCGAGCCUCGAGCCGUCGCGCGAGAGGCAGCACUGAAACUUAUCGAAGAUCGCGUCGCUCUCGUACAGGUCGCAGAGCUUCGACCGCAGAUGCUCGUGCACCUUGAACGUCGCCACCGGCUCGCGCUCCAUGUUGAUGUCCCACAGUUUCAGCGUGAGGUAAUCUCGCGCGAGAAGGUAUCGACCGUCGCGCGAAAAUUUAACGUCCGAGAUGCUCGCGAUGAUCUCUGACGGUGGGGAAGUUCGUGAAAAAGUUCGUUCAUCGGUCAGUCGAAAGCGACCAACGCACGCGCGCGAUCAAAGGUUGGUUGGUUGAAACUGAAACUGAAUCUACGACGCGGGUCGGGUGAAAAUCAAAACGUCCGAAAUAGUAAUAAACACAAACAAACGCACCCGAGAAGAAGCUCCGCGCCCCCGGCGGCUCCGCCUCGUCGAAGAGCUUACAGUGCGCGUUACACAGCGCGUUGGACCGCAUAUCCGCGAGCCGAAUCGACCCUUUACUGCUUGAGUACGCGAACAAGUUACACGACCCGGGGUGGAACUCCGCGGCGGUGAUCACCUCCGUGAGGUCCUCCAUGUUCCCCGGCUUGAUGUCCACGAUGUUGAAGCUCGCGUCGUGGCGGUCCAGGUGCCACAGGUUGACGCGCAAGUCAUCCGCGCUGCGAUCGGUGGGCGACGCGGCGGGGAGUGAUGUGAUUGGUCAGUGGCAGUGGUUGGUUUGAUGACGUGGACGUCCGUUCGUUUCGGGAGUAUUCGUAUUCGCGCGUUUGUACGGUGAGCAGUCAGCCAGCGGUUCUUCCGUCAAAAGAAAAGCGCGCGAUGGAUUAUGUCGCACCUGAUGUACGUCUCGCAGUCGCUGUUGACGGAGAGAGAGUUUAUGUGAUACGCGUGCGCGUUACUGUACAGCCGCCUGCACCGCGCGCUGAAGACGACGUCCGCGGCGCGAACGCUCGGGAUUUUCAGCGGGCCCGCGAAGGACGGGCGGUUGGGACCCUUGGGGUUGGGGCUCGUCGUCGUCGCGCCCGCGUCGUGACACUUCUCCGGCGUGAUGGGAGCCGCCGGCGAGGCUCUGUUCGAGCCGCCGCCGCCACCCUUGCCCGGUCCGAAAACGCUCAUAUCCCGGCCGUUAUCCCGCGUGUGCGCGUCCAAGUUAUAAUCCGCGACGCACUGCAUCUGUUUCUCGAACACUUUCCACAGCUUGAUCGUCUUAUCGUUCGUGCUGAUCAGGAACCUCGACGCGUUCGCGCCCUGACGGUCGAGGGUCCAUCGUUCAAAGCGACGCGCGUCGGGGUGGAGUUCAAAGGCGUCAGAAGCGGAGUUGAAAGGCGCCGAGGGCGGGUAUUGAAAGCGAGCUGUGGGCGGAGAGAGACGCCGCCGGGAAAAAAAUUCCUUAAGGAUCGGCGUUCACCACGCGGACGUGGUCGUAUGGGGACCAGUGUGAGAUAGAACGCGCCUGAUGGCACCAUCGCAGCGUGUUGAUCUUUUCCUCGAUCUCGAGCGACUUCAGGUAGUCAAACUCCGGCUCGUGCGACUGGAACUCGGUCAGGUAUCGAUACUCCACCGGCGCGGGCGGCGUCGCGCCGUCGGGGCCCGCGCGCGACCGCAUCGCUUCGACCUGGCACCGGGAGGAGGGAGCGGCGGGGACGGCGGGGAUGGGAUGCGGGCGCGUUGGUUUUAAGAGAAAAGUCACUCACUUCGUCGCGAAUCGAUCCGAUCGCGAUUUCGUCGAUGAAGUCGAUCGACGCGCUCGGGUGAAAACCAAACCGAACCGCGGGUGAAAACCAAACCGAAACCGAACCACCGCGAACGCACCGCAGCCUUCGACGGGUGGAUGCGCUCGAAGAGGACGACGCGCCCACCGCGGUCGCCCGUCGCGAGGUGCUCGCCCGUGCGAUCGAACUCCACGGCGCUGAUCACGUCCGCUGUGUGAGUAUUUAGUGAUGAAGAGGAACGAGGGCCCCCGGGGUGUGGUGAAGACGUCAGGCGGGCGGAAGGGCUCGAUCGGUGGACGGAGGGAGGGCGAGCGGUGGGGACGGACGGAUCGACGGGUCGGGGCGGACGAUCGAGCGCGAGGGUUCGUUCGUUCGCUCGGGGUUCGCGCUCGCGCUCGGCGCGACGUCGCCGCGCGCGAUCGAACGUCGCGGACGCGCGGGGACGAGUCGCUCGCGCGCACCGUCCUGAACCUCCUCCCCCGGCGUCCUCUCCCCGAACACCUGGCUGAAGUUCCAUUCCAGCUCCGCGAUGGGCUCGGGCGCGGCGGACGCCAUGAUGGUCGGCUCCGACGAGGCGCUCGCUCGCGUCUGUCUACUCGGCCGCGACGCCGCCGCCGCCGCCGCGGUCGCCGCCGCCGCCGCCGCGCGAUCGCGCGCCGGCCGCGCGUCCCUCCUCUUCGCGACCCGACGCGCGUUCCUGCGACGCGGGGGAGGAGCGAUGCGCGAGCGGGUGGGAGCGUCGCCGUGGGCGCGGCGCGGCGCUCUGUUGGGCCCCCGCCGCCGACCCCGGGGAAACGCCGACCGCUCCGCGCGGACGACGGCGCUUUCCGUGCGACGCAGUUUCCGACACGCGCGCGACGAGCUCUUGGCGUAUCGUUUGGCAUUCGAUCGGCGACGUCGGCGCGUUCACCCCGAGCGUUGAUCGCGGGUUGCGAUCGGGCGCUUCCUUUCAAAAACCAAACAGGGUUCAGUUCUUCCGUCGUCGGUCGCGUCUGGUUGGCGCGAGCACGCGCACGUGCGAAAAAAAUCUCCUGAUGAUAGAUGAGGCACUCGCACUCGCGAAAUGACAUCAUCACAUCACGACGCACAUCCGUCCGUCGCGCCGCAGCCUCGGACGCCGCCGCCGCCGCCGCCGCCGCCGCCGCCGCGCCCGUCAUGGCGUCCUCCGCGCGAGACACCCUCCUGUUCCCGUUCGUCCUCUCCGCGGUGGUCGCGUUAGUUCUCCUGUACGUCGCGGCGUGCAAGCUGUUCGUCGCGUACUAUCGAGACGACGACUGCCCGCCUUCGAUGGGCGACGCGAAGGAGGACGACGCGCACGAGGCGACGCCGAUAUACGCGCUGACGGGGGUGUGCGUCGUGCAUCCGAACGGGAAGGUCGUGUUCGGCGGCGAGGAGGAGGAGGAGGAGAGGGAGAGGGACGGGAGAGGGCGCGCGAUGGACGACGAGGCGACGACGACGACGACGACGAGUUCGUUGUUCGUUGACGCGGCGGUGUAUGCCGACGAGGAUAUUCCGACGAAGCGCGCGUCGUCGUCGUCGUCGUCGAUCGGGGAGGGCGACGGCGACGGCGCGCGCGUCGAGGAGAAGAGCGAAGAGGACGCGGGAUAGGGAGACCGCUCGCGUCGCGACGCGGACGCGGACGACGCGACGCGCGGGGACGCCGCGGGGUAGCCGCCGCGCGCGUCCGAACGUCGUCUCAUCGGUCGACGUGUACUAAAGUGUAUCUACACGAAUCUGGCGCUGAUGAGCCAGAUCAGAUGCUGAUGACUUCUUUGCCGCGCGUUUCUUUUUCGACACGCGAAAAUAACCAAUUCGUUCGUUCGCUGAGACGAGAGCCGCGGGCUAUGUACAUCCCGUCGUCGUUCGUCGUUCGUCGCGCGAUCAUCCAUCGCGUCGCGUCGCGUCGCGUCGCAUCACGCGCGCGGCGGCUCGACGCUGUUCUCGCGCUCGAGCGGCUCGAGCGGCGCGCGGUUCUUCGCCUGCGUCGGAAUCUUCGUCGUCGUCGGCGCCCUCCCGCGGCUCCCGGCGGACGUUUUCGUUUUCGUCGGCGCAGGGGAAGACGAAACGUCAACCGCCGCGUCGCCGCCGUCGUCCGCCGCCGCGUCUUCCGCGUCGGCGGCGGCGGCCGUCUUCUUCGCCGCGCCGCGCGUCGACCGACCGCGCGUCCCUCCUCCGCGGCGCGUUGACGCGCACAUCGCCGGUUUUUGUGUUUUUUCCUCCUCCUCCUCCUCCUCCUCCUCCUCCUCCUCCGUCGUCGUCGGCGCCGGCGGCGUGACGUCUUCUUCCUCCGCCUCCGCCGUGACGUCGAGUACGUCCACCGCGCUCUCGCCCGCCGCGUCUUCGCCGCCGCCCUCCUCCUCGUCGUCGUCCUCGUCGUACGGAUGCGCGCCCGCAGCCUUCUCCCCGCCGCCCCCCCCCGCCGCCUUCGUCGCCCUGAACGCCGCGAGCGUCGCCUCUCGACGCAACGUCAUCCGCGCCAUCGUCUUCGCUUCCACGGGCGUCGUCAACGCCGCCGCGACCGUCUCCCGCGCGGGCGUGCCGCCCGUCGGGACGUCGCGCGCGAGCUUCGCGAACGCGCUCGAGAGUGUCGCCGCGAGCUCGCCGGCGUCCGCCGCGCUCCGAGUCAUGACCGCCUCGUUCUCCGGAGAGGCAGCCAACGCCUCGGCCAUCGCGUCAAUCUCCGCGACGUCGGCGUCGCGACGCGCGUCGAGCGACGCCCGCGUCGCGUUAAUCUCGGCAGCCAUGGCGUCCAGCUUCUUCCGCAGCGCCGCGGUCUCCUCGUCCUUGCGCUUCGCGAAAGCCUUCAUCGCCGCGACGUGCGUUCUCCGCCGCUCGCGUUCUCGCUCCGCGGCUUCGCUCAGGCGCUCUUCCAUCUCGAUCAAGCGCGCGGCGACGCUCUCUUUGAUCGCGGCGAUGGCCUCCUCGUUCGUCCGCUCCAAGCCCGCUUUCCUCUCGAGCUUGCCGAACAAGCCCUCGACGUCUCGCCUCGCGUGCGACAAGACGUCCGCGAGCUUCCCGGUCGCGCGACCGAGCGUCUCGUUGGCUUUUUCAAACUCCCCGAGGACGUGCUCGUGUUCUUCUCGCUCCAUCGCCGCCUCCGCGAGUUCGCUCUCGGUCGUCUGGAGCCUCGCCUCGGCGUGCGUUAACGCCUCGACCGCGUCCGUUUUUUCCGCGACCAAAGCUUUGUGCUGCAUCUUUUGCGUCUCGAACAGCGCGGUCAUCGACGCGAGCUCGCUCUUCGCGAGGCCCAAGGCGCUGAGGGCCGUUCCAUACAAAGCGAUGUCGGGGUGGAGUUCAUAGGCGUCAGGUGGAGUUGAAAGGCGUCGAGGUCGGGGAUUGAACGCGAGGGGUGGGCGGAGAGACACGCCGGGGAAAGUCCUUAAGGAACGGCGUUCACCACGCGAACGGGGUCGUAUGGGGACCAGUGUAUAGAACGCACCUCUCGAGCGUCUCCGUCCGCCGUCGCAACCCCUCGCGUUCGCUCUCGCUCGCGUCGAAGCUCUCCGGGGUCAGAUAGACGCCGUUCUUCUCGCGCGUCGCGAUCAAAUCUAAGCGCAGGCGUUCGAUCUCAUUCUGAAGGUCCUUGAUCAACCCCGUCUUCGUCAUCCGCGCGUUCACCUCCGGCUUAUUCUUGAUCGCCGCCGCUCUGCGCGCGUACUCGAGCGUGGAGACGGUCUCGUCGACGUUUUGACUGGCGGGCGAGAUGGUCGCGACGACGCACGUCUUACUCUUCCCUCCCAGCGCGUCUCGCAGUAAACGCGUCAGCUUCGAGUCUCGGUACGGGACGUGCGCGAGUCUGUCGACGAGCGCGGUGAUGACGCGGCCGAGCGUGAGCAGCGACUUGUUGAUCUCUCCCGCCUCGCGCGCCCUCGAGUCCUUCGCGCCCGACCGCGAGAUGUUCUCCGACCCGGCCAGGUCGACAAGGUUAAGCUUCCCCUGCUUGAUCAGAUCCUCCCCGUUCGCGGCGUUGUGCUCGCGCGUGUGAAUCGUCACGCUGAAGACGCUGUGCGAGCGCGACGACUGCUUGUUGCAGAGCGUCUCCGCGGUCCUUCGCUUGGCGCUGCCUCUCGCGAGGUGCUGGAAAAUCUCGGCGGGGGACCGCGCGGUGAUCUCUUCGAGGCCCUUCACGCUGACGCCGCCUUUGCCGUCCUCGAGAAGGUUGUGCCGGCGCUUCUCCGCGUUGGCAGCCUCGAGCGUGCCCUCCGCGGGCGACUCCGGGGACAAAAGGUCGGUGAUCUCCUCGUUGUACAGCUCCAGAAACGUGCACUUGACUUCAAACUCGGCGCCGCUCGCUUUGAGGUACUCGAAGACGUGCGCCAUGGCGCGCGGGAUGACGCCGGCGUCCGUCGGCAACGCGUCGGCGUCGCCGCCGUCUGCGAUGAUGAUUGAUGAUGAUUGGUCGAGGGAGGACAUGUGUCAGUCUCGCAUGCGUGUGAUUGGUGGAUUCUAUUCCCACGUGUCAAAACGUGAGGCACACGGCGCGCGUAUGGGAAGCGGUCGGUCGGCGCGGCGCGCUCACCGACGCCGACGGCGGAGAGAUCCCCUUCCAUCGUGUGCGUCUUCCCCGUCCCCGUCUGCCCGUACGCGAAGAUCGUGCAGUUGAACCCUUCCAAUACCUCCUCCACGAUGGGCGCGAUCGCGCCGUCGUACACGUCGCUCUGGCUCGCGUCCGCGCCGAAGACUGCGGGCGGGUCGUUCCGUACGAUGACGCGUCGACGACGUCGGGGCGGAGUCGAAAGGCGUCAGGCGGAUGCGUGGAUGAGUUCGUUGAAAGGCGUCGCGGCGCGUCGGGAUUGAAACCAUCGAGAGGCGGGUGGAGUGAUGCGCCCGCCGGGAGAGAGCAAAAGUCCUCAAGGACCGGCGUGCACCACGCCAACGCGGUCGUACGGGAACCAGUGUGAAUGCGAACGCGCCUCGGUCGAAGCUGUACGUCCGCUCCACCGUCUUCUUGGUCUCUUCGUGCGGCCCCUUCCCCACGGUCUGCGCGACGACGCACUGGUCGAGGCCGACGCGCGUCUUGACCACCUCGGGCAUCCGCGCGGCGAGCUCCGUCGCGUUCAUGGGGCUGCGACGCGAUGGACGCGAGGAGGGGGGGGGGGGAGAGAUGGCGAUGAGGUCGGGUGUCGUCGUUUUCGCGCAACGGAACGAAUAACGGGACGACGACGACGACGACGACGGGGGAUCGGUUCCCGUCGCGUCGCGUCGCGUCGCGUCGCGUCGCGCGCGCGCACCGGCAUCGCAGCACGACUUUGACGUUCGCUUCCGCGGCCUGGCUCGUCUGCCGCCGCGGCGGCGCCGUGGACGGGCGGUCCGCGGGUGCCAUCGCGCGUCGACGGAUGACGUCCGCGGCGCUGUUGAGAUUUCCGUUAUUUCUUUCCCCCUCCGCGCGAAGACGUACUGUAGACGUCCGAUCGAACGACCGCGCGAUAGUUUCGUUUUUCACCCACCCCGUGGUUUCAACACUUGAUCGCGUCCCCUUUCAACCGACCGAUGAACUUUUUUCGUUCGCCCCGAUGAAAUAAAUCGCGCGCAUCGAACGGCGCGUCGCGAGCGUCCGGUCGCGUCGCCGUCGACGAAGCCGCCUCCGACCACAACUCUCAUCGGCGAGGAACCGUCGUCGUCGUCGUCGUCGUCGUCGUCGUCGUCGUCGUCGUCGUCGUCGUCGCGUCGUCGAGCGGGACGACCGGAAGCGAGCGGCGGCGGGAGGCGGAGCGCAGCGCCGCGCGCGUCGGGGUUCGAUCGAUCGACCCACCCGACCCGUCCAUCGCUCCUCCUCUUCCUUUGAACGACCGAGCGCGAUAUCGCGCGAGCGGACGUCGCCAUGGAGGAGUGGGCGCAGCGCGCGGAGGGCUCGGGGGGCGUCGGGAACCUCGCGAGGAAGGUGGUCAAGCCCGCGAGCGCGGGGAGGAAGCUCACGAUCAAGCCGUUCAAAGGUGCGAGCGCGCGCGCGAGCGUCGUCGUCCCCGUCGGUCAGAUCGCGCGACGGGCGCGCCGCGCGCGUCUUUCCCUCCCUCCCUCCCAACGUCAUCGUCCCGCCGUUGGGUCCCCGCUCCCUCCUCACCGCCGUUCCCCCGCGCCCGCCGCCGCCGCAGAGAAACCCAAGCUCCCGGCGGACUUCGAGGCCAAGGCGUGGGACGCGCUCAGCGGCGCGAUCGACGCGAUACACGCCAAGGCGCGUCCUCGGAGCAUCAUCACACAUAUUUACACUGGUCCCCAUACGACCGCGUUCGCGUCGUGAACUUCAUUCCUUGAGGACUUUCUCAUCUCCCGGCGUUCGUCUCUCUCCGCCGCCCGCCCACCCCACGGUGGUUUCAAUCCCCGACCCUAUGACGCCUUUCGACUCCACCACUGACGCCUUUCAACUACUCCAACCCUUUCGACCCCCGCCGGACCCGCAGCGCGCCGUCGCCGCGUCGUUCGAGGAACUCUACCGCCGCGUCGAGGACGCGUGCUCGCACAAGCUCGCCGAUUCGCUCUAUCAAAAGCUCCGCGCCGCGAUGAAAGCGCGCGCGAUCGCGCAGUUGAAAGCGCUGCGAUCGCGGUCGUGCCCGGACCCGAUCGCGUUCCUCUCGCGCGUGGACGAGUGCUGGAGCGAUCACUGCGCUUCGACGCUCACGACGCGGUCUAUAUUUUUGUACCUGGACCGAGCGUACUGCGCGAAGACGCCCGGGGUGAAGGGCGUGUGGGACCUCGGGCUGAUGCUGUUUCGCGCGUCGCUCGUCGGCGGCGACGAAGAGGGCGGUGGGGGUGGGGGUGUUGGUAACGCUUCGAAUUCAGGCGUUACCGUUGUCGAAGAGGACGUCGGCGAGAUCGUGCGGAAGACGACCAGGGGGUUGCUGGCGUCGAUACAGAGAGAACGCGACGGCGAAGCGGUGGACCGCGCGCGGAUCAAACGACUCACCGCCGCGCUCGUCAACCUCGGGCUCUACGCCGACCACUUCGAGCGCGCGUUCCUGGACCACUCCGCGGCGUACUACCGCGCCGAGGGCACGCGCGCGGCGCAAAGCUCCGACGCCGCGGGUUUUUUGACGCACUGCGAGGCGCGACUGGCGGAGGAGGAGGACAGGGCGUCGACGUAUUUGGACGCGUCGACGCGACGGACGCUGACGCGGUGCGUCGAGCAGAACCUCGUCGAGACGCACGUCAUCGGCGUGUUAGACAAAGGCUUCGACGCGCUCUGCGCGGAGAACAGGAUCGAGGACUUGCGGCGGCUCCACGCGCUGUGCGCGCGCGUGGACAAGGUGGACAAGCUGCGCGACGCGUUCGCGGCGAGGGCGAAGCGCGUCGGCGCGGCGAUCGUGCAGGACGAAGAGAACGAUAAGGACAUGGUGCAGAAUUUGCUCGACGUGAAGGAGUCGUUGGAGCGGAUCGUGUCCGACGCGUUUGGCGGCAGCCUCGAGCUCUUCUCGAACGCGCUCAAGGAGGCGUUCGAGUCGUUCGUGAACUCGCGUCGGAACCGACCCGCGGAGCUCAUCGCUAAGUACGUAGACGGUAAGCUUCGCGCGGGUUCCAAGUCUGGGUACGUCGACGAGGAAGAGAUGGAGCGCACCCUAGACGCGGUGCUCACGUUGUUCAGGUGCGUUCUAUACAAACGUUUUUCACCCUUCGCCCGGUUUCAACAUUUGAUCGCGUCCCCUUUCAACUGACCGGUGAACUUGUUUUGUACGGAAUCGCCCUCAGGCACAUCCAAGGCAAGGACGUGUUCGAGGCGUUCUACAAGAAGGACCUCGCGAAGCGUCUUCUGCUCUCGAAGAGCGCCUCCGUGGACGCGGAGAAGAGCAUGAUCAGCCGUCUGAAGGCGGAGUGCGGGUCGCAGUUCACGACGAAGCUCGAGGGGAUGUUCAAAGACGUGGAGACGUCGCGAGACAUCAUGCGCGGGUUCGCGGCGGAUGAAAAGAUCGCGAAAGAACUCCCCGAAAACGUCGACGUGUUCGUCCACGUCCUCACCGCGGGGUACUGGCCGACGUACGCCCCGUGCGAGGUGAAGCUCCCGCGCGAGCUCGACCACCUCCAGCGCGUGUUCAGCGAGUAUUACCUCAGCAAGCACGGCGGGCGCAGGUUGGUGUGGCAAAAUGCGCUCGGGCACGUCUUGCUUCGCGCGGAGUUUCCAAAGUGCGGCGUUAAAGAGCUCGCGGUGUCGCUGUUUCAGGCGGUGGUUCUCAUGCUCUUCAACGACGCGGAGACGAUGUCGUUCGAGGAGCUUAAGGACGCGACCGGGAUCGAAGACAAGGAGCUGCGGCGGACGUUGCAAUCGCUCGCGUGCGGGAAAGCGAACCAACGCGUGCUGAGCAAAACCCCGAAGGGCAAGGAUGUCGACGACGGAGACGUCUUCGCCGUCAACGACGACUUCAACGAGCGGCUGACGAGGAUAAAGGUGAACUCGAUACAGAUGAAGGAGACGAAGGAGGACAACGACGCGACGAACGAGCGCGUGUUCCAGGACCGGCAGUAUCAGAUCGACGCGGCCAUCGUGCGCGUGAUGAAGACGAGGAAGACGUUGUCGCAUCAGGCGCGUUCUGGUUACACUGGUCCCCAUACGACCGCGUCGGCGUGGUGAACGCCGAUCCUUAAAGACUUUCUCUCCCGGCGAUUCUCUCCGCCCAGGGUCCCUCGCUUUCAAUCCCCGCCCUCGACGCCUUUCAACUCCACCUGACGCCUUUCAACUCCACCCCGACGUUCGCUCGUACGGAACGACCAUCAGCUGCUCGUCGGCGAACUCUUCAACCAGAUCAAGUUCCCGGCCAAGCCGGCGGAUCUGAAGAAACGGAUCGAGUCGCUCAUCGACCGAGAGUACUUGGAGCGCGACCGCGGGAACGCGCAGGUGUACAACUACCUCGCGUGAGCGAGCGAGCGCGGGCGGGCGGGCGGCGCGCGAGUUGGAGCGGAGCGCUCUUCUUCUUUCUUUUCGUAUAAGAUAGUCUAUGAGAUAGUAGGCCCGCUGUGACCGUCGGGAACAACAGACGGACGCGUCCGAGAGAGAGAGCGCGCGCGCCGCGCGACGACAGACGGAUAGAUGGAUGGAUAGAUGGAUCUUACUUCUCGCUUAAUUCUCCCUCAGUUCGCGCCGCCGGUGACCGUGAACGUCGCCCGCGGCGGCGAAAGCGCUUGGGCGCCGUUCGGACCCCGCCCCGGCGAUCGCAUCGCCGCCGCCGCCGCGCCCGUCGGCGCCCCUCCUCCCCUCCAAUUAUUUCCAUUAUAAUUUCCAUUUCCUCCUCCGACCCACCGCAUCCCGUCCGCGUCCGCGUCGGGCAGACCCAUCGCGACGAACCAUCCGGACAUGAACGUGAUCCCCGUCGUCGCGAUCGAGAUGGCGUUCAGGAGCACCUCCAUCUCCAGUAUGUACGUCUGCUGGACCAUGUAGUACACGUGCAUGUAAAUAACGAUCGGCGUGAUCAAGAGGCUUCGGUACACGAGCUUCUUGCUCAGCGCGGCGUUGCCCUGCCCCAUCAGCGUCAGCCGCAGCCACUCCACGACGAUGUACAUAAACAGGUACGAGAACUCCAGGCCCCAGUAGUUGUGUCCGACGUUUGGGUACGGCAACGCGUUGCCCUUGUAGAUCAUGAUGAGCGCGGCGGUCCAAAAGUAGACGACGUCCCACAUAGCGGCGAAGUAGAGGUACUGAGGUGUCGUCGUUUGAUUGGUGGGCGACGUGGCGGGAAGUUAUGUGAUUGGUUAGUUAUUUGAUGACGUGGAUGUUCGACGUUUCAUUGGACGACAGAGAGCGACGGAGAGAGAGAGACGCCGGGAGAGAAAGUCAAGUCCUUCUUAAGGAUCGGCGCGCGCCGCGCCGACGCGGUCGUAUGGGGAUCAGUCUGGUGUGAGAUGGGACGCGCCUGCGCGAGCGACACGGACGUGAUGAGCGGUCGCUUGUUCAGCCGCGCGUAGGCGGCGUCCCCCAUCGCGCUCGAGCGCGCUUCCGCGGCGGCGCGGCGGUUGAACAGCGCGCCUAGGGUCGUUCCAUACGAAGCGAUGGCGGGGUGAGGUUCAAAGGCGUCAGUUGAAGUUGAAAGGCGUCGAGGUGUGUCGGGAUUGAAAGCGUGGUGUGGGCGGAGAGAUGCGCCGGGAUAAGUCCUUAAGGAACGGCGUUCACCACGCGAACGCGGUCGUAUGGGGACCAGUGUGAAGAGAACGCGCCUACGAACCCCCGCGGCGUUCGCGGCGAGUCGGCGCCCGCCGCGGACGUCCCGCCGGCUUCGCUCCCGCCGCCGCCGUCGUUCGACGCGGACGGCGGCGCGCGGGCGCCGCCAAAGCCGAACCUGAACCUCGACCCGCCGCCGCUGCUUCCCGCGUGCGACAACGCCGGGAUGUCGUGCCCGGUGAGUUUGAACACGGGCGCGGGGCCGCCCGCGUUGUUUUCCGUUCGCGUCGUAGUAGCCGGAGCAUCGUUACCAAGCCCUCUCGCGUCGGCUCCCGCUCUUCGCGGGCCGCGGACCGCGACGUCGCCGUAGCCGGUGUUCCCGCCGAAGCGUCGCGAUCGCGCGGCCGCGUCCGCGUUCUGCGUCGACGCCUGCGCCUGCGCCGCCGCGCGCGGAUCGUUCGCGUUCGCGUUCGCGUUCGCGUCGUAGUCGCGCUCGUCGCGGCGGACGCCGAAGCGGAACCCGCCGCGCGGACCGCCUCCGAAGCCUCCUCCGGCGCCGCCGCCGCCGAAGCCGGCGGUACGCGGCGGCGACGACGGCUGCUGCGGCCCCCCGACGUUGAAGCGGUUCACCUCCGCGGGGCGAGAUCCCGCGGGCGCGAACGGCGCGGGCGCGUUUCUGUUUCGAUUCGCCCCGAACGUCGACAUCGAACGACGACGACGACGACGACGACGCGACGGCGGCGGCGACGCGCUUAAGACGCGAUGGGUUUAGGGCGCGUCUUCUUUCGACGCGAUGGAUGCGCGUGCGCGUUCGUUGCGUCCGCGAGAGGAGGAGGAGGAGGACGACGACGACGACGACGGCGGCGCGCGCGUGCGAUGUGCGCGUCCGUCCGUUGACGACGAACGAAAAAAAGUUCGUUCGAAGGCAACAACGAACCGAUCGAUUCGCGACGAGACCCCAACGGCUCUGCCGAGGGUGCGAUCUGAUCGACGCCGGUCGAUCGGUCGCCGCGGUGAAAUUGAGCCCGGCGGGAGGGUCGGGCUCGAUUUUUCACCGACCAACCUUUCACGCGCGGUUUCAAUAAUUUCGCGACUGAUGACUCUAAAACCGACGACCGCCGAUCGCGCUCGGCGCGAGCGUCGCGUCGAUGAGAUGAGACUUGCUGAGAUUUCGCUCCUCGUCAGUCCCGCUCGCGCGACUUCGCCGCCGCACGAUGUCCGGAUGGGACGAGGGCAACGUGUACUUCACGGACAGCGGCCUCGCGGGCGACGGCGACGCGCCGGGCGGCGGCGGCGGCGGAGACGCGCUCGGAGUCACCCCCGGGCAGGCGAGGCGGAAGUUUGCCGACUUUUUUCGAAACUUCAGGGGCGAGCCCACGGCGGACUACCCGGACGGGCGGCUGACGUAUCGCGACGCGCUGGAUCAGGCGAUGCCGCCGCAGGAGCUCACGGUGCUCAUGGACGACGUCAUAGGUGCGCGCGACGCGUUUCGGUUUCGUCGCGGGGAGUCGGUGUCUCGUGUCUCGUGAAAGCGCGACGAUCGGACGGCGUCCCCGAUCGAUCGAUCGAUCGAUGCGUCGGACCGCGUACGACGCGCAACGAUCGCAAACUUUCUCCCGUGCGUGGUGUCUCUCUCUCCGCUCUCUCCUCCGCGCGCGUUCUGUUCUGGUCGGCUGACCCGCCUCGCGCGCCUCCCUCCCACUUCCCCCUCCCGCUUCUCUUCUCGCAGCGCACGACCCCGAGCUCGCGAAGGAACUCCGCGCGCGCCCGGACACGUACGUCCCCGUCCUCGAGGCUGCAGGUGCGUUCUGGUUACACUGGUCCCCAUACGACCGCGUUCGCGUGGUGGACGCCGAUCCUUAAGGACUUUGCCCGGCGCAUCGCUCCGCCCAGGGUCCAUCGCUUUCAAUCCCGACACACCUCGACGCCUUUCAACUCCGCUUCUGACGCCUUUGAACUCCACCCCGACGUUCGCCGCAGCCGUGGAUGUCGUGGAGUCGCUCCGCAACGAGUCCGCGAUCAAUCCGCAAAACGAUCCCAACUCCACCGCCGUGGUCGCCGGCGUCGGCGGCGCGGCGGCGCACUUCGCGGAUCACGUCGAGAUCCAGGUGCACCUCCUGAGUCACGAGAACCCGCGGCCGCUGCGGUCGCUGAGCAGCAAGGACGUCUCGAAGAUGGUGUACGUUCCGGGCAUCGUGAUCACGACUUCGAGGGCGAAAUCGAAAGCAACGCGGCUGUGCAUUCAGUGUAAGACGUGCCGGAACACGAAGCACAUCGCGUUGGGGGGCGGGUACGCCGGCACGGUGGUCCCGCGGUUCUGCGACGGCGCGGGCGGCGGCGGCGGCGGCGCGGGCGGCGGCGGCGGCGACGGCGCGAUCGGCGACGGCGGAGGCUGCGGGAUCGACCCUUUCAUCGUCCUGCCGGAUAAGUCGAAGUUCAUGGACCAACAGACGAUGAAACUGCAGGCGCGUCCCAUCUAUCUCAACGUUCGACCCUAUGACGCCUUUCGACUCCACCCCUGACGCCUUUCAACGCAUUUCAACGACCCGCAGGAGAACCCGGAGGACGUCCCCGCCGGGGAGAUGCCGCGGCACCUCCUCAUCGUCGUCGAGCGCAACCUCGUGCAGUCGAUAACCCCGGGCACGAGGGUGAAGGUCAUGGGGACGUACUCGUUGGGGCCGUCGGGGGGCAAGGGC
Molecule: long non-coding RNA, 32562 nt
Filed under: Micromonas pusilla
Lineage: Eukaryota; Viridiplantae; Chlorophyta; Mamiellophyceae; Mamiellales; Mamiellaceae
Description: long non-coding RNA (MPUS_LNC000196)
Source: RNAcentral